This 658-nucleotide ribosomal RNA is filed under the name Sidera sp. 2 LR-2015. Its description in RNAcentral is "eukaryotic LSU rRNA". The stretch from base 271 to 424 matches the Rfam family "5.8S ribosomal RNA". The record is from RNAcentral. Lineage: Eukaryota; Fungi; Basidiomycota; Agaricomycetes; Hymenochaetales; Rickenellaceae.
UUAGAGGAAGUAAAAGUCGUAACAAGGUUUCCGUAGGUGAACCUGCGGAAGGAUCAUUAUCGAGUACUUUGAAAAGGGUUGCAGCUGGCCUCUCGGGGCAAGUGCUCGCCCCGCUCAAACAAUCCACUCAAACACCUGUGCACCUUUUUGAACUCGCGAUUUUUUCGGACGAGGGGAUGUCAAAGUCCCUUUGACCGGAGGGGUCACCCGUUCUAUUACAAACACCUUAUUGAGUUUUUGAAUGUAAUUUGGUUGGCUUAAAUAAAAUACAACUUUCAACAACGGAUCUCUUGGCUCUCGCAUCGAUGAAGAACGCAGCGAAAUGCGAUAAGUAAUGUGAAUUGCAGAAUUCAGUGAAUCAUCGAAUCUUUGAACGCACCUUGCGCUCCUUGGUAUUCCGAGGAGCAUGCCCGUUUGAGUGUCGUGAAAUCAUCAACCCCCUACAAUUUGUUUUGUUGGGAGGCUUGGAAUUGAGGGUUCUUGUCGGAGAUUUACUUCGACUCCCUCGAAAGUCAUUGGCUUCCGGUGAACCCUUCGUUGGCGUGAUAGGCAAUAUCUACGUCUGUGCGGGCGGGGACGUCGGCGCCUUGUGGAAACUACUUUUUUCCUUUGACCUCAAAUCGGGUAGGACUACCCGCUGAACUUAAGCAUAUCAAUA